CCUACGGGUGGCAGCAGUGAGGAAUAUUGGUCAAUGGCCGUAAGGCUGAACCAGCCAAGUCGCGUGAAGGAAGAAGGACCUAUGGGUUGUAAACCUCUUUUAUAGGGGAAUAAAGGUAUCCACGUGUGGAUAUUUUCAUGUACCCUAUGAAAAAGCAUCGGCUAACUCCGUGCCAGCAGCCGCGGUAAUACGGAGGAUGCGAGCGUUAUCCGGAUUUAUUGGGUUUAAAGGGUGCGUAGGCGGGCUUGCAAGUCAGCGGUAAAAUUUCGGGGCUCAACCCCGUCCGGCCGUUGAAACUGGGGGCCUUGAGUGGGCGAGAAGAAGGCGGAAUGCGUGGUGUAGCGGUGAAAUGCAUAGAUAUCACGCAGAACCCCGAUUGCGAAGGCAGCAUUCCGGCGCCCUACUGACGCUGAGGCACGAAAGUGCGGGUAUCGAACAGGAUUAGAUACCCCAGUAGUC
RNAcentral lists this ribosomal RNA (459 nucleotides) under uncultured bacterium. RNAcentral's name for it is "partial 16S ribosomal RNA". It matches the Rfam family "Bacterial small subunit ribosomal RNA", at positions 338 to 795 of the family's 1533-position model. The record is from RNAcentral.